UACGGAGAGUUUGAUCCUGGCUCAGAACGAACGCUGGCGGCAUGGAUUAGGCAUGCAAGUCGAACGGUGCAGCAAUGCACAGUGGCGCAAGGGUGAGGAACGCGUGAGUAACCUACCCUCAAGUUGGGAAUAGCUUCUGGAAACGGGAAUUAAUACCGAAUGUGACCUUUUGGAGGCAUCUCUGAAAGGUUGAAGGCCGCAAGGUCGCUUGAGGAGGGGCUCGCGUCCCAUUAGCUAGUUGGUGAGGUAACGGCCCACCAAGGCGAAGAUGGGUAGCUGGUCUGAGAGGACGAUCAGCCACACUGGGACUGAGAUACUGCCCAGACUCCUACGGGAGGCUGCAGUCGAGAAUUUUGGGCAAUGGGGGCAACCCUGACCCAGCAAUGCCGCGUGCGGGAUGAAGGUCUUCGGAUUGUAAACCGCUGUCAAGAGGGACGAAACAAAUGACGGUACCUCUGGAGGAAGCCACGGCUAACUACGUGCCAGCAGCCGCGGUAAUACGUAGGUGGCGAGCGUUGUUCGGAUUCAUUGGGCGUAAAGGGUCCGCAGGUGGUUUGAUAAGUCUGACGUGAAAUACCGGAGCUCAACUCCGGAACUGCGUUGGAGACUGUUGAACUAGAGUAUCGGAGAGGAAAUUGGAAUUCCAGGUGUAGCGGUGGAAUGCGUAGAUAUCUGGAAGAACAUCGAAAGCGAAGGCAGAUUUCUGGACGAUGACUGACACUCAGGGACGAAAGCAUGGGGAGCAAACAGGAUUAGAUACCCUGGUAGUCCAUGCCCUAAACGUUGUAAACUUGAUAUGGGGAGAUUUACUCCUUUCCGUGUCGAAGCUAACGCGAUAAGUUUACCGCCUGGGAACUACGGCCGCAAGGCUAAAACUCAAAGGAAUUGACGGGGGCCCGCACAAGCGGUGGAGCAUGUGGCUUAAUUCGAGGCAACGCGAAGAACCUUACCCGGAUUUGACAUAUAUUGGAAUGCAAUGGAAACAUUGCCGCUCGCAAGAGUCGAUAUACAGGUGCUGCAUGGCUGUCGUCAGCUCGUGCCGUGAGGUGUUCGGUUAAGUCCGGCAACGAGCGCAACCCAUGUCAUCAGUUGCUACCAGGUAAAGCUGGGCACUCCGAUGAGACUGCCCGUGUUAAGCGGGAGGAAGGCGUGGAUGACGUCAAGUCCGUAUGGCCUUUAUAUCCGGGGCUGCACACGUGCUACAAUGGUCGGUACAGAAGGAAGCAAUGCCGCGAGGCGGAGCAGAUCCCCAAAACCGUACCUUAGUUCAGAUUGCAGUCUGCAACUCGACUGCAUGAAGCCGGAAUCGCUAGUAAAGGCGUAUCAGCUACGACGCCUUGAAUACGUUCCCGGGCCUUGUACACACCGCCCGUCACAUCAUGGGAGCUGAUUGCACCCGAAGUCGCUGCCCCGACCUGCAAAGGAGGGAGGCGCCUAAGGUGUGGUUAGUGACUGGGAUGAAGUCGUAACAAGGUAGCCGUUGGGGAACCAGCGGCUGGAUCACCUCCUUUCUAAGGA
Molecule: ribosomal RNA, 1518 nt
Filed under: Bacteroidales bacterium 55_9
Lineage: Bacteria; Pseudomonadati; Bacteroidota; Bacteroidia; Bacteroidales
Description: bacterial SSU rRNA
Rfam family: Bacterial small subunit ribosomal RNA
Source: RNAcentral